Long non-coding RNA from Sinocyclocheilus rhinocerous, 848 nucleotides. RefSeq lists it as uncharacterized. The transcript is spliced from 3 exons. The record is from RefSeq and is a predicted model, not a curated record. Lineage: Eukaryota; Metazoa; Chordata; Actinopteri; Cypriniformes; Cyprinidae.
CGACUCGCUUACAUCUGUAGCUCUUCUAAUGUACUCUCAUUGAGGAAGACAUGGAUGACUGUUGAGACUUAUUCCUGGCACAUUUGUCUUUUUUUGAAGGUGAUGUACAGCAAUACGGGAAGCAGGAAUUAUGAGAACAGCUGUAUUUGACUGGAGACAUUGGACAAGGCUGAAUUUGGACACCAGUUUGAGAUGACCUUCACAUCAAUCACAAACCUCAGAAAGACAAAGAGAUGGUGCUGGCACACUGCCUUCAGAAACACUCUACUCAGGGCAUGACAAUUUGGAUUUGGUGCCCAGGCUUAAAUGUAUAUAGGGAUGGAGACCAUGUAUAAAAAACUUGACUGAACAUGCAUUGACUGAACAUAUGGAAGUUAUUAUUUCAUAAUUUUGAAAAUGAUGCCGUUGGACUGACUGCUGUACAACCACAGGGAACUGUUUAAAGCACUGAAGAAUUAACCCUCCACGUUAAAAGAGAAACUUUCAUCGAAGCAAGACGAUGUUCAUUGUGACAAAACCAAGGGCAAUGUAGCAACUGUAGAUAGCAAAUCCUUAUCAUGGAGGCUGCUAAAACCUCAGGUGAUGCGGAAUGUUCCAAACAGAUUAUUGGUUUCAAAGAUGACGAAAAACACUUGCCAUCCGAGAUGACCCAAAGAGGCCAAUCCUCUGGCACAGAGGACAAAAUAAAACUUGCGGAGCAACCCCAGACCCCAGCUGUACGUCCAUCUCCUGGUAUGGAGUCACAGGUCCUUGCUUCAGGAAAUAUUCUUACCUCAAAAUCUAGAGAACAGUGUCACAUCCAGCUCAGGAGGAAGAACGUUUCUCUCCCAAACAAACGAUAUCUUCAA